Molecule: unclassified non-coding RNA, 148 nt
Filed under: soil metagenome
Description: partial internal transcribed spacer 1
Source: RNAcentral
CCGAGUUUACAACUCCCAAACCCCUGUGAACAUACCACUUGUUGCCUCGGCGGAUCAGCCCGCUCCCGGUAAAACGGGACGGCCCGCCAGAGGACCCCUAAACUCUGUUUCUAUAUGUAGCUUCUGAGUAAAACCAUAAAUAAAUCAA